Molecule: ribosomal RNA, 476 nt
Filed under: uncultured bacterium
Lineage: Bacteria
Description: partial 16S ribosomal RNA
Rfam family: Bacterial small subunit ribosomal RNA
Source: RNAcentral
GACGAACGCUGGCGGCGUGCCUAAUACAUGCAAGUUGAGCGCUAAAGGUUGGUACUUGUACCAACUGGAUGAGCCGCGCACGGGUGUGUAACGCGUGGGGAAUCUGCUUUUGAGCGGGGGACCACAUUUGGACACGAAUGCUAAUACCGCAUAAACACUUUCAACACAAGUUUUAAGUUUGAAAGAUGCAAUUGCGUCACUCAGGGAUGAUCCCGCGGUAUGUUAGCAAGUUGGUGAGGUAACGGCUCACCAAGGCGUUGAUGGAUAGCCGACCUGAGAGGGUGACAGGCCACAAUGGGACAGAGAUACGGCCCGGAGUACUUCGGGGGGAAGGAGUGGGGAAUAGUGCACGAUGGGCGGAAGGAUGAAGGAGGAAUGCCGCGUGGGAGAUGACGGCUGUCGGGGAGUAAAGCGGUUGCGCCUGUGAAGAAGCGUGAGUGACGGUAAUGGGUAAAGAAGCACCGGCUAACUACGUG